UCGCAGGCUCAUUUCGCACUUCAGCAACUUUCUAACACUUUCUUAACGAGGGAGAAGGGGCAGGAGAGAUCGGGGGGCGCAGGGGAGGAGCCGCUCCGGCCCCGGCUUAGUCCCCGCGGGCAGCGACCCGCAUCCCCGAGGCCGGGACCGGUGCGCUCGGCAGCCAGGGCUGAGCCAGGAUGCGGAGCUGACCCCGGUCUUCCCGGGAGGGCUCAGACCCUUCCAGUCCCAGCCCCGGUACCUCGACCUGGCUCGACUGAAAAAAAUUCGAUUGAUCUCGCCGAGUUUAAGCUCGGCCGAGAGGGUAGGGGUGUCCCCGGGGUGCCCGGAGAAGCAGCGGUGCUGCGGGGAGGCGGUGGCCGCUGGGACCGAGGUGGGCAGCAGCUGGGACAGUCCCCAUGGCGAGACGCUUCCCUGGAGCAGGAGGUGACUUAUUUAAAGUUAUUUUCCCCACUUCCUUCACGUAGAAGAGACAAGGACAACACAAGGAAACUUCACACACUGAGAAGGCAUUUCCCAUCUAUGAAAGAAAAACAGAGAGAUGCUGUGUUCACCCCAAAAGCACAGGCUUAGCAGAAGAGCAAGGACAUGUUUGCAUGUCACCAGUGCUUCCAAGGACAUCAGUUACUUGGUUCUUUGCACACUAGCAAAUGGAGCCUUUCCAUUCAAGUCUUCCUGGAGAUACGAGAAGGAAAGUGGCAGGUGAGGAGGGAGAUGGGUGGAUGGAUUUUGGGUAGGCACUGAAGGGUCAUGCCUAUGGUUUAGGUUUGUUUCAAAAUGCCCAAGGUGUAGAAAAAGCCCAGCACAUGUCCACAUUUCCAUGACAGCCAGCUAAAAUGAGCUUAAAGCACAAGCCGCUUUGGGUGAAAAGUCAUUCUCUAAACAGGAAAUAGAAGACUUGAAUCCAAACCUAAGUUAGGAUUGUGGUGUGGAUGUGCUGUUAGCCUCUCCAUUCCUUUGUCCUUUUCUGGGACUGUUUGUGGGCAGGCCACAUCCAAGCCAGGCUUUCAGCCAGAGCUGGGUUCACACCAGCCAAGAGAAGAGACGUCCUAGAGGGUGACCUGAAGUGAUUUAUCCAAGUCACGCAACAGGUGAGUGGCAGGGCAGUUUGAGGGGCAGUUGGGGUGAUCUGAUGCAAAAUUAUCCUUUUUUUUUUUUUUAAUAAUAUUGCCUAGUAAACGAUAUCUUCUUUUUGUUCCUUAUAAGAUUCAACACACUAGUUCUUCCCCUCGCUCUUUUUCAGCUGGUUCAGAUAUAACAUUAGUUAUACAGAAAUGCACAAAGAUGCCAUCAUUUCCUGUAGGCAUGUUUGUGUGUAUUCUACACUUACAGCAGACCCUGUUUUGCUAAAACAUCUACAGGAUCACCAAAGCAGGCAAGCAACUUUUUUAUUUGUCAUUUCGCAGAAAGAAAUUGUAUUGUGACUUUCAAGUAGGAAAAAAAAAUUAGAGAAAUAAUAACAUGACCCAACCGCAAAAAAAUUUUUUUUCAUGAACUAUACCAAUGAAUUGGAAAUGCAAGUAGUAAAAUGAAUUGCCAAAAGUAUCAAAUAUAUGUGUUUUCAAUAACCUUUUUUUUUUUUUUUGUUACCUAGUAAAAUAUUUUCCUGGAGAAGGGUUGUUAAACCCCUCUGUGCAAUAUAAAGGUGCAGUGAUGUAUUGUCUCAGAAGUGGUUUAAUGGAGUUUUGGGGUCCCAUUUUUGUACAUAUUUUCAACACACACAGUGCGUGAUCAAUUUGGAUUUAUAAAAUGUUAUAUAUUUCUUUCUAAGCAAUGACCUUACCUUUUAAAGUAUGUUGCUUAGUUAGGAGUGCAUGUGUGUGUUUGCAUUUUGGCAAGGCAGCAAAUAACAUGCAAUAUUUAUGUCAUUUGACAAAAGUAUUUUGUGUGUUUGCCAAAAGCCAGUCCUUUCUAAGAACCUAAAGGUAUUUGAUCUGCUCUAAAACCUAGUCCUGGGAGGAGGAUUAGGUGAGCGGGAGUCGUGGGCAGAGGGAAGGUCUGUCCAGUCUUUGCAGCUUCAGAGGGCAGGAUUUUAAACAAACAAGAUGGACCUUAUGGCAGCUCAACCUCUUUGAAUGUGUUUCAGUGAAAUGAUUUCAGACUUAACUGUAUCUUUACUGCCAAAAACCUGGGGUUUUGCAAGCAGGUUACUCAUUCAGGUUGGGCUGUGUUGGGUGAAAGUCCAGCCCUAGCUCUCCCGCCAUAGCUACUGGGGACAACCUGGGGAAGCCAAGCCUCCGCAGGGAGCUUUGUUAUUGAAUGGACAGAGCAAAGAUGGCAAAAAGACAGUGUCUUAGUUUACACCAGCAUUUCCCCCUUGGUAGCUGACCCACCUCAGCCAUUUUACCAGGAAAAACCAACCAAGAGCUGAGUGUAAGGAGAUGGGGAAGAUGCGGGGUUUGUACAAUCAUGAUUUAGCCAUAUCCUGAUCUCUGUUAUCCCUACUUUCUUUAUCCAUUGGUGUAACAAAGAUCAGGAUCUGUCCUUGGCUGCCUGGUGUUAGUUCCUGCUUAUUUGUUUCAAAAGGCGAAAGCCCCAUGUCUCGCCCGCACCCCGGCUCACUGUAUAGACCCGUUGCGCUGAAAUCUUUGUGCCAAAUCCAAUGAUAUAACGUUUCAUUCAGAGAAUUUAUCCAUUUCCCCCCCUCUCUUCUCUUUUGCUUUAUCUCUUCCUUCUAUCUUCAGCCUGUCAGGACUUUCACAUACCCGCAGCUGACAGCUAAGAGAUCAGGAACUUUGAUGUUGUAAGGGAUAUUUUAUCUCAGGUAUUUCUCACCAAUUCCUACCUUAUUGUGUAGGGUAUCCAAGGACUCGGAGAGUGAGCAACGCCUUUGUCUGGUAAGAUCAGAGCAAUUUGCAAGCUUUUCUGGGAACAAGGUCCAAUAAAGGGACUUUAGAGAUAUAAUCUGUCAACCCCAUUGAGCAGCACUGUGACAGCAGCCUUAUGAUUAUUGACAGUUUAAGCAUCACUCAGGACAGAACAAGGCUGGGGGGACACAGUUAUUUGUAGUAAGACAUUGUUUUGCUAAGGAAGCGAAGGAAAUAAAUUAUACCUGAAUUCACCACGUUUUCACUGAGUUUCUCCCUCACACAAACAACUGACCCUACUGGGAGCUGCUGCUUUUUGCCAGGAAUUUGGGGAAAAAAGGAAAGAAGAUUCCUCAGAUAUGCAAAGCCUUUUUUUUCUGUUCCCAGUCCCACAGUAAGUACUGUGUGGGGCAGGAGUAAUGAGAGGACAGUGAUGCCCCGAGCCCUGUAUUUGAAAUCCUCUUCUUUACCAUAUACCUCUCUCUGUUCCUCCAAGUCUCCUCAUUCCAGGUGUGUCACUCUGAGGUGGUGGAGGUUUCACCCAGGAUGAACCAUCCAUGGUGUGGAGUACCCUAGAAAAUAACACACAGGAGAAGCUCAGUGAGUCUGUCCAGUCUCAUCUUCACUGCCCACCUGCUGGCUCACCCCACUGGGGCUUCACCAUAUUUAAUUCUUCAGGAGUUUCCCCAUCAUUCAGUGUAUUUGUGAAUAUUUUUUUCUCCCUCAUUAGGCAAGCAUUUGCUUAUUUUAUUUGCAAAGACACCAGCAUCUUCUUUUUCAGUGAACACCCAGGCCUCACAUCUUUAUAAACAUAUUAACAAAUAUGUUCAGUGGUCACAGCUCGGUCUAUCACAGCAAUUAUUUGGGAAUAAAAUGUUUCUGCAGAGGCAAGUACCAGGCCUGUAUCCACCCAUCCCGUCUGUUUCCAUUCUCUUGUUGUCUUAGUCAUCAAGCUGAUGUUAAUAUGCGCUCCUAGUACAUGUUUAAACAUCCUGAAUAAUUGAUCUCUGCUUAUUGAUGAUCAGAUAAGUGUGUCAGUGUUGAUCUUGGAUUGUUCCUCAAGCUCUUUUUUUCUUGCUACUCUCUGAAACCUUCAGCCAUCCUUCGCACCAUGUUCUCUGUCCUCACCUCACAUUUUGAAGACAAUACUUUGUGAUACUGGGGUAGAAAUCCUGCAGUGGCUCAGCAGUGGCUUUGCAGAAUGAGUUGUAGCCCAAAUGCUGAUGAUACCAGCCAUGCAGUUUGGUUGGGUUUCCAAGAUAAAUGCUGAACCCCUUUCCAGCCCCUCUACUGUGCCUGCUGAACGUGCUCUUCCUGAUGGCUGGAGAGACCCACCCUGCGAAGAGCUGUGCAAGGUCAUGCCCACCUGGCAGAGGCAGCAGACAGGGAGCAGGGCAGGAGAAUCUCACUGUCUGGCCACAGAAAAGGGGCUGACAGCAGUUGGGGCUUUGUCGCUGGGUUGCACAGGUGCACAUUUUGUGGUUUCAGUGUCUCUGAACCGCUCAUGGCCCCAGCUGUGAGGUGCUGGCCAUGCCUCUGAGCACCUACCCAACAGGAGGCUCUUGCAACAGCUCCAGCUGUUUCCUCAGUGAGGAAUUCUGACGUUUUUUCCCAAAUCGGCUCAUAAUGACUCAGUUUGAAUCUAAUGAUGCAACCCUGAAGGGAAUCAUCAGCUCCCCAGCUAGAAGGGUCAGCCACCAUCCAGCUCCAGCCCACGUGGCUGCUGAUUGCGGCAGCAUUUUGUGCAGCUCUAUGUAACCUGUCUCAGCCCGUGCCAGUUCCCAGGGGAACAUUCUUUCUGGGGAUACUUCACCCCAUCCAUGAUGGCUCAGGCCAGUGCUUCCCUCCUAGUUGUUGAGGUGUAGGAUGGAAAAGGCCAAUCUGGUUUCGAUUAGGUGAGAGCAAACGUGGUGGUGUUAUCAAGCUGCUGCGCUGGUGGGUGUUUGCAGCUCAGUCCCUCUUAUCAACCUCUGACAUGGUCCUUCCUUGAUGCAGCUCAAGCACCCGAUGAAGAAAGGACCUGGGGGGAGUUCUGCAGUGCAAACAUACUUCCUGCUGCCCGCAGACAGAAAAUCUGACCUAAUACACAUUAAAAAAAAAAGGAUAAACUUUUCAAGCCAUCACUGGCAUUUUGUCUACAUUGGGAGACACACGAGAGGUUCAUUGCCAUGCAAGAUCCAGUCCUAAAUGAAAAUACCCCUCCCAGUGACAGCCUUUCCCACAAUAGUCUGAAGCUGAAAUGACACUAAUUUGCACCUUCCAAUUCAUUAUGCACUCCCAGCUUCAUGAUCCUAUUGAGGUAGAAACCUGGCAAUGACAACUUCACCGAGUCACACACUGAUGUCAUUUGUGCAUUUGUUCACUGGAAUUUGAUUUUUCCAGAUUACGCUGCAACUUCAGCACAAGGUGUUAAAUGAUUUACUGCAGAGUGACAGCGGCAAGGCCAAGAAUAAAACCCAGGUAUCAUUAGUUUCAAGAUACUAUGACACCCAACUAGUGUUAAAAAACACUCCCUGUCACUGCCUCACAUUUUUAUUUAUCAACAAAAGCAGGUUUAUUUUGUUUUAUUCUUAGCAAGACAUUGUUUCACUGGACACCACUAAAAAUGAGAUUUAUCUUCCUUGGAAUAACUACAGACCCUUGCAUUGGUAAUUUAUUCCCCUCCCAUUUCUAAUCUCAUUUCUAUUGAAUGUAUUGUUUUGCUUUCCAUUAUUUAUGCAAUGAGAUCAUUAAAAUGAAUAUUGGAACUUGACAGGUUUGGAGCAGGAAGAAACUUCACUGUGGAUGCAUCCCAAGUAUAAUAGCUUGGAUUUCUGCAGAGCCUUUCUCUGCAGAAAAGACCUCUUUUUAUGCCAUUUAUUCAUGCUUCAGUUUUGCACUUUGGGGACAAAAGGAAGAAAGAAAAUCUGAAUCCUGGAGCCUACAAGAGACAAACCUGCUAAUGCGACAGCAUGUACCUGUGCGAGUGCUUCAGAGGACGAGGCUGCUGGGCUGGAUUCUUCUGCUCACACCGAUGUGAAGAGGAGAGAACGUCCCAGCCAAUGUAUAUGACUCACUGCUGUCACCGCAAAGAUCCCUGACCCCUGUGAGUGCUGCAAGGUUGGGAUCCGCAGCUCCACUGACUCACCUAAAUCCAGAGAAUAAUUACAUUUCACCCAAAAAUAAUCACAGAGUCACUCUCUCCCA
Columba livia (rock pigeon) is the source of this 5993-nucleotide long non-coding RNA. RefSeq lists it as uncharacterized. NCBI's taxonomy places the organism in Eukaryota, Metazoa, Chordata, Aves, Columbiformes, Columbidae. The record is from RefSeq and is a predicted model, not a curated record. The transcript is spliced from 3 exons.